GGACGGGGACCUAGGGCCUGGGGAGGGGUGAGGGAGUGGAGACCCCUCUUCUUAUGUUUUAUUUCUGGCUUUUAAUUUUUUCCAGAUGAAGGAGGGUUUCAUCAGUUCUUUCAACUGUACCCAGCAAGGUUGCUUGGCAGUUGGCACCUGGAAACAAAACCAGCUUAUUAUAUGAAAUCCCUAAAUCCCUAUAAAGAACCAAAAGCUGCAAAUGGAACAACAAAGAAUCACAAGCUACGGAUCCUCGUUCAGAACUAGAAAAUGAUCUCUUCAAUCCUUUCGGUUGAUCCAUCUCCAAAGCUCUUUUUUCCUUGAACAAGAAGGAUUGAUGAACGAAAGCUAGGAGGUUAGGAUACACCCAAAGAGACGAUUAGGGCCUCCGCUCCCUGUGUCCCCUCAUCGGAUAAUUAAGUUUCAGAAAGAUCAUUCAUUAUUUCAAAAUUCAAAGAUUUCAUCCAAAUUUUUAAGGGUGGAUAGACUAUAGAAUUGCCUUGUUUUAAUUAUUGUUGCUUGAAAUGAUACGGAAAUUUGAAAAAGGGACACUUUUUGUUUUCUGUAACAAUUCCAUUGUUUUGAAAAUUUAAUGAUUUAACAAGGAUAAAAGAGACUUUUUAAUCAUUCCGUUGGAAAUAAUUAACAUAGUGGAGGCUUUAGUAUUUAGGAGAAAUUUGAAGGGAGGUUUACCCUUUUAUUUUAUUUUUUAAUAUUUUUUAUUCCUCCGUUCUUCCUUCUCCUUGUUUCGGUUAGGAGGAACAAAAAGGAAAAUAAAAUAAAAGUAAUUUUUUUUCUUCUCAGCGUCUUCUCGGGAGAGAAGAAAUAACACAAGAAAACCCUACCACUAUCAGGGCUGACAGCGAAUCUCUAUAGAAAACUUCUUUCGGUCGUUCCAUGACAUAUUCCUGCUGUUUUCACUGUAAAAUUCUGGGUUCUAUUAAUGGCGUUUUAGGGCUCCUUUUCCCUCGUGCUUGUUUACAGACGAUGAAGAGUGAUGAUUGGAGAUACGAAAUUUGAGGAGUUCUCGUUAACUGGAUACCUUGUGAAGAACCUGAAACCUCUGACACAGGCUGACCCUGUGAUUCUUGCGAAAUACGUGGAAGCAUUGUUAAAGAAGGAUAAACCAACUAAAGAAUUACAAAAACUUUGUACUGAGAAUUUAGUUGAAUUUCUUGGCCAGGGUACAGAUUCUUUCAUCACGAAAUUGUUCCAGGCCCUACAAGAUGGUUCAAUUAUAGCAUCUGGUAAGGGGUUGGAUACCAUCAAGCAGGUUGAACCAUCUUCUUCUUUCAUUACAGAGGAUCCAAUAGAAAGGACAGUUUCAUCUCCAAAGCCUGAGGAGCUUUCUCCCUCAUCUGGUCAUGCUAGUGAUACUGAGAAAGAACUUAGUGAUGAUGAUGAUGAUCGCAAUCAUAAGCAUCGCAGGCGGGAGACCAGGUCUCAGUCUUUUGACAAAUAUGGACAAGAGCAACUUCCAAGUAGACCAAACAGAAAACGUAACAAACCUUUUGGAAAUGGACAGCUAUUACUAGAAAGUGAUCCUCAGUCAAGUGAAUCUCGAAAAGAAUGUGGUCCUCCUCCAGAAAGAGACUUCUCUGCAAAAUUUGAGAAAAGGCAUCCUGGCUUGGUGACACUGCCUCGACCUCCAUUUGAUUUGGGUCAGAGGACAAAAGUAAAUCCAUCAUUUCAUGUUGAACCUGGUACUCGUUUGGAUUUAUCUACAUCUGUGGGUCGUCUUCCCAUUGGUAAAGGAAGAGGAAGGAGUUCUGGCCUCUGGAACCAACAUGAUUCUAGGUUUGGCUCUGUGGAAACACUUGAUUUUGCAUCACAAAUGGCUCCAUGGGGUCCUGCCCCUGGUCUAUUUUCUGGAAGAGGGCUGCCAAUUGCUGCUAGCACACAAAAUGCAUCUUGGGGUGCAUUUGGGUUAAUUCCAGGAAUGCCUAAUGGCACUCUGGAUACACUCCAUCCACUUGGUUUGCAAGGAACACUUAGACCACCUUCCUUGAGUAUUGGCAUGCCUCGCCAACGAUGUAGAGACUUCGAGGAGCGUGGAUUUUGUCUUAGGGGGGAUAUGUGUCCAAUGGAGCAUGGUGUAAAUCGAAUAGUUGUUGAGGAUGUUCAGAGUCUCUCACAGUUCAAUUUACCUGUUUCUCUUCCAAGUGCACGCCUAUUGGGAAUGCCAGCUGGAACAGGACCUUUACCUUCAGUUAGUGCUCCUUCAAACUUGUCAAUAAAGAGCAAAGGUUCACAUUGUAAAAGUGGUAAAUCUGGAACAUCUGAUGAUGGAUUAAGCUUGAAUAGCAUGUUGCCUGUGUCUGCUGGUUCUGGUGAAGCUGAUUUGUAUGAUCCUGAUCAGCCUCUGUGGAACACUGACCAUCCUGAAACAUCAAGUGCACUCCUAAGGCUUUCACCAAGGAUUUAUGAAGCCGAACCAUUAUGGGAUGCUGAUGCUUCUGAUCACCGUAGUUUAAGGUUAUCUGAUGGUUUUGACAGUGAACACCCAGGUAGAAAUGCCACAACUGGUACUGGUUCACAGACUGCAACUUCUGUUUGGGGACGGAUAGGGAGUUCUGAAAAUAAACUAGAAAUGAGUGGAAAACAUAGCAAUACAAUAACUUCUACGAGUAAUCUAGGAAAUGAGGUGAAAGACUCUAAGGAGCUUUUACCUUCUCUUCCAGUUACUGGCCAUCGAGGGAAGCAUACUCUUACAGAGGAUAUAGCCUCAAAAGCUAUGAAUUCUUCUACUUCAGCGAAGCAAAGUUAUCCUGUAUGUAAAGUUGGGCGACCAUCUCAUAAAGCUUCACGUACUCUUUUUGUAAAUUGUAUUCCCCAAAAAAGUAACAAGAGGGAGGCCCUUUUUUCACAUUUCCAAAAAUUUGGGGAGGUUUUUGACAUUUAUAUUCCAAUGAAUAGUGAAAAAGCUUUUGUGCAAUUCUCUAGACGAGAGGAGGCAGAAGCUGCUUUAAAGGCACCUGAUGCUGUAAUGGGUAACCGUUUUAUCAAGUUAUGGUGGGCUAACCGAGAUAACAUCCCUGAUGAUGCUAUAAGUGGUGGAACCACAUUAUCUGCUUUACCCCAUGGUGUGACAGCUCCUUCUGCUUCACCUCUUUCAUCUAUUGCUGAAAGAGGAAAAGAAAAUCUCCCAUCUGCACUUCCAAAGCCUAGUGUUUCUCCGGCUUCUGAUGUUCCUAUGGGAGCCUCUGUUCACCCUAAACCUGGUUUAACAAAUGGUGCCAAAGCUACAGCUCCUCUGCAAAAGAAACUGGAGAGUUUGGAGCUUUUGAAAGAAGAACUUCGUAUAAAGCAGGAAAUGCUGGCCCAAAAGCGGAAUGACUUCCGCUGCCAGUUGGAUAAACUUGAGAAACAAGCUGCAACAGUCAAGGGUGAUGCAGAUGCUAAGCAUGUUCUCAAGAGACAUAAGGUGGGGUCAGUAACCCCUUCUAGCAAAACUGCAACACCAAGGUCCUUAAAUCCUUAUACUGCUGGAUCACAAACACCACUCGAGAAGACCAUUGAUAAUUGUGGGGAUAAUAGUGCAUCUCCCAAUUCCAAAACAAGUUCUGCUGUGGUACUACGGUCACCUAAGAGUUUGAAGCAGCCAAGUUGUCCUGCGCCAGUAGGGUCUUCCUUUAUUGUGAACAGGUUCAAAUUGGAUAACCGCCCUACAACAUUUAGAAUUCUUCCGCCCUUACCAGCUGAUUUUGCAAAUGUUGCUGUUUUGAAGGAGCACUUUUCAUCAUUCAGUGAUCUGUCUGCUGUUGAGCUAGAAGAUCUAGGUUCUCAUACUGAUGGAUUGGGUCCAUCCAAGAAUUGUUCUGUUCAUAUAACUUUCACAACACGUCAUUCAGCUGAGAAGGCAUUUGCAAAUGGCAAAUGCUGGAAGGGACACAAUUUACAGUUUACAUGGGUGACAUCCUCUGGUAAUUCCAAUAGAAACCAUGGCAGGAUAGAAAUUUCUCCCAUGUCUACAUGCAAGGGGCCUCAAGAUACAGAAGUUUCAAUGAAGAAUAUGUCUUCUGGGUGUUCUUUAAGAAGUACAGAUAAAUCAAUAUGCAUUGUUUCUCAGACAACACCUAUUACUGAAAAUGGAGAACCUAAGAGUUCAGAGGGAACUAGCAGUAGUGUUGAGUGUACAAAACCAUUUGAGGGUUGCCAAUCUGGUUCUAACACCAAGUCAUUGUCUGAGACACGGUUACCUAAAGCAGAUGUUUUGAUUGUUGAGGGUGGCCUAAAUGUUAGAUCUGAAGAUUUAGGGGCUAAAUUUGAUGAGUAUGAGGGAUUUGAAGAAUGUGGAGGUUGAGGGAGUCUGUCAAUCUGUCAAACAUAAUUUUCUGGAUGCGAAGUCAAGUUAUGAUUCCUUGGAAUUUUAGGUUGUUGAUGAGACAGGCAUGGUUCUUAGGUACCAUAUUGAAUAGCUCAUUCAAGUAUUCAGCUGGUGCUAGAGGUGCUAAUCGGUUUGAAGACUCAUUGGCCAAGGCAGGAGUGGCAAGGAUUCAACUUGAAUGGGGAUGUCCAGGGCAGGCUCUAAUCUAUUGCAUGGAUGUUAAACCUGUGACCCUAAGUCACAUGGACUAUAAGGCAUCAGUCAUGUCACCUAGUUUGACAUAUUAACACUGAAACAUCAGAUUCUAUGGCUGGGGGAGUAUAAAAAUAUGACUGCGAACCUGUAUUCCCCAUGAGGUUUAAUAUUUCACACUCCCACAAUUUCUUUUCAAGUCAGAAUAGAGAUUCUUAUUGUAAUAUCUGCAGGCACUUGUGAAAUUGUUGACCUGCAGGUUUUGUAUCUAGCUCUCUUUUUUCUUUUCUUUUUUUUUUUUAAUUUCCUAAUCAGUAUGACUGGAGAAAAGAGCAUUUCUUGAGGUGAAAUAUGAUAUAUAAAUGAUUUUUUUUUCACCUUUGUGUCCUAGAACUAUGAUUCCUUGAAUAUCAUCCUAUUUUGUAUGCACUGGUGGCAGGAUCUCAUGGAGUUCUCAUUGUGUUUUCCAUACACAAAUAAAAUGCCCGUUGAGUAUUAA
Nelumbo nucifera (sacred lotus) is the source of this 5009-nucleotide non-coding RNA. The record is from RefSeq and is a predicted model, not a curated record. Lineage: Eukaryota; Viridiplantae; Streptophyta; Magnoliopsida; Proteales; Nelumbonaceae.